RNAcentral lists this ribosomal RNA (216 nucleotides) under Glomeromycotina sp. RNAcentral describes it as "partial small subunit ribosomal RNA". The stretch from base 40 to 216 matches the Rfam family "Eukaryotic small subunit ribosomal RNA", at positions 686 to 864 of the family's 1831-position model. The record is from RNAcentral. Lineage: Eukaryota; Fungi; Glomeromycota.
GGGUCAGUAGGUUGGUCGUGCCACCGGUACGUACUGGUCUCACUGAUUCCUCCUUCCUGAAGAACCGUAAUGCCAUUAAUUUGGUGUUGCGGGGAAGCAGGACUGUUACUUUGAAAAAAUUAGAGUGUUUAAAGCAAGCUAACGCUUGAAUACAUUAGCAUAGAAUAAUGAAAUAGGACGAUCGAUCCUAUUUUGUUGGUUUCUAGGAUUGACGUA